UGCAGUCGGGCGGUAACACAGAGGAGCUUGCUCCUUGGGUGACGAGCGGCGGACGGGUGAGUAAAGUCUGGGGAUCUGCCUGAUGGAGGGGGAUAACUACUGGAAACGGUAGCUAAUACCGCAUGACGUCUUCGGACCAAAGUGGGGGACCUUCGGGCCUCACGCCAUGAGAUGAACCCAGAUGGGAUUAGCUGGUAGGUGAGGUAACGGCUCACCUAGGCGACGAUCCCUAGCUGGUCUGAGAGGAUGACCAGCCACACUGGAACUGAGACACGGUCCAGACUCCUACGGGAGGCAGCAGUGGGGAAUAUUGCACAAUGGGGGAAACCCUGAUGCAGCCAUGCCGCGUGUGUGAAGAAGGCCUUCGGGUUGUAAAGCACUUUCAGCGGGGAGGAAGGCAAUAAACUUAAUAAGUUUGUUGAUUGACGUUACCCGCAGAAGAAGCACCGGCUAACUCCGUGCCAGCAGCCGCGGUAAUACGGAGGGUGCAAGCGUUAAUCGGAAUGACUGGGCGUAAAGCGCACGCAGGCGGUCUGUUAAGUUGGAUGUGAAAUCCCCGGGCUCAACCCGGGAACAGCAUUCAAAACUGACAGGCUAGAGUCUCGUAGAGGGGGGUAGAAUUCCAGGUGUAGCGGUGAAAUGCGUAGAGAUCUGGAGGAAUACCGGUGGCGAAGGCGGCCCCCUGGACGAAGACUGACGCUCAGGUGCGAAAGCGUGGGGAGCAAACAGGAUUAGAUACCCUGGUAGUCCACGCCGUAAACGAUGUCGACUUGGAGGCUGUGGUCUUGAACCGUGGCUUCCGGAGCUAACGCGUUAAGUCGACCGCCUGGGGAGUACGGCCGCAAGGUUAAAACUCAAAUGAAUUGACGGGGGCCCGCACAAGCGGUGGAGCAUGUGGUUUAAUUCGAUGCAACGCGAAGAACCUUACCUACUCUUGACAUCCAGAGAAGACUGUAGAGAUACGGUUGUGCCUUCGGGAGCUCUGAGACAGGUGCUGCAUGGCUGUCGUCAGCUCGUGUUGUGAAAUGUUGGGUUAAGUCCCGCAACGAGCGCAACCCUUAUCCUUUGUUGCCAGCGAUACGGUCGGGAACUCAAAGGAGACUGCCGGUGAUAAACCGGAGGAAGGUGGGGAUGACGUCAAGUCAUCAUGGCCCUUACGAGUAGGGCUACACACGUGCUACAAUGGCGCAUACAAAGAGAAGCGAGCCUGCGAGGGUGAGCGGACCUCAUAAAGUGCGUCGUAGUCCGGAUUGGAGUCUGCAACUCGACUCCAUGAAGUCGGAAUCGCUAGUAAUCGUAGAUCAGAAUGCUACGGUGAAUACGUUCCCGGGCCUUGUACACACCGCCCGUCACACCAUGGGAGUGGGUUGCAAAAGAAGUAGGUAGC
This 1387-nucleotide ribosomal RNA is filed under the name Brenneria salicis. RNAcentral describes it as "bacterial SSU rRNA". It matches the Rfam family "Bacterial small subunit ribosomal RNA", at positions 56 to 1434 of the family's 1533-position model. The record is from RNAcentral. Lineage: Bacteria; Pseudomonadati; Pseudomonadota; Gammaproteobacteria; Enterobacterales; Pectobacteriaceae.